GACGAACGCUGGCGGCGUGCUUAACACAUGCAAGUCGAACGGAAAGGCCCUGCUUUUGUGGGGUGCUCGAGUGGCGAACGGGUGAGUGACACGUGAGUAACCUGCCCUUGACUUUGGGAUAACUUCAGGAAACUGGGGCUAAUACCGGAUAGGAGCUCCUGCUGCAUGGUGGGGGUUGGAAAGUUUCGGCGGUUGGGGAUGGACUCGCGGCUUAUCAGCUUGUUGGUGGGGUAGUGGCUUACCAAGGCUUUGACGGGUAGCCGGCCUGAGAGGGUGACCGGCCACAUUGGGACUGAGAUACGGCCCAGACUCCUACGGGAGGCAGCAGGGGGGAAUAUUGCACAAUGGGCGGAAGCCUGAUGCAGCAACGCCGCGUGCGGGAUGACGGCCUUCGGGUUGUAAACCGCUUUCGCCUGUGACGAAGCGUGAGUGACGGUAAUGGGUAAAGAAGCACCGGCUAACUACGUGCCAGCAGCCGCGGUGAUACGUAGGGUGCGAGCGUUGUCCGGAUUUACUGGGCGUAAAGGGCUCGUAGGUGGUUGAUCGCGUCGGAAGUGUAAUCUUGGGGCUUAACCCUGAGCGUGCUUUCGAUACGGGUUGACUUGAGGAAGGUAGGGGAGAAUGGAAUUCCUGGUGGAGCGGUGGAAUGCGCAGAUAUCAGGAGGAACACCAGUGGCGAAGGCGGUUCUCUGGGCCUUUCCUGACGCUGAGGAGCGAAAGCGUGGGGAGCGAACAGGCUUAGAUACCCUGGUAGUCCACGCUGUAAACGGUGGGUACUAGGUGUGGGGUCCAUUCCACGGGUUCCGUGCCGUAGCUAACGCUUUAAGUACCCCGCCUGGGGAGUACGGCCGCAAGGCUAAAACUCAAAGGAAUUGACGGGGCCCCGCACAAGCGGCGGAGCAUGCGGAUUAAUUCGAUGCAACGCGUAGAACCUUACCUGGGUUUGACAUGGAUCGGGAGUGCUCAGAGAUGGGUGUGCCUCUUUUGGGGUCGGUUCACAGGUGGUGCAUGGCUGUCGUCAGCUCGUGUCGUGAGAUGUUGGGUUAAGUCCCGCAACGAGCGCAACCCUUGUUCACUGUUGCCAGCACGUUAUGGUGGGGACUCAGUGGAGACCGCCGGGGUCAACUCGGAGGAAGGUGGGGAUGACGUCAAGUCAUCAUGCCCCUUAUGUCCAGGGCUUCACGCAUGCUACAAUGGCUGGUACAGAGAGUGGCGAGCCUGUGAGGGUGAGCGAAUCUCGGAAAGCCGGUCUCAGUUCGGAUUGGGGUCUGCAACUCGACCUCAUGAAGUCGGAGUCGCUAGUAAUCGCAGAUCAGCAACGCUGCGGUGAAAAGGUUCCCGGG
Molecule: ribosomal RNA, 1343 nt
Filed under: uncultured bacterium
Lineage: Bacteria
Description: 16S ribosomal RNA
Rfam family: Bacterial small subunit ribosomal RNA
Source: RNAcentral